This 408-nucleotide ribosomal RNA is filed under the name uncultured Hyphomicrobiales bacterium. RNAcentral's name for it is "bacterial SSU rRNA". It matches the Rfam family "Bacterial small subunit ribosomal RNA", at positions 94 to 537 of the family's 1533-position model. The record is from RNAcentral. Lineage: Bacteria; Pseudomonadati; Pseudomonadota; Alphaproteobacteria; Hyphomicrobiales.
AGUGGCAGACNGGUGAGUAAUGUAUAGGAAUCUACCUAGUAGUACGGAAUAAUUGUUGGAAACGGCAACUAAUACCGUAUACGCCCUACGGGGGAAAAAUUUAUUGCUAUUAGAUGAGCCUAUAUUAGAUUAGUUAGUUGGUGAGGUAAAGGCUUACCAAGACAAUGAUCUAUAGCUGAUCUGAGAGGAUGAUCAGCCACACUGGAACUGAGAUACGGUCCAGACUCCUACGGGAGGCAGCAGUGGGGAAUAUUGGACAAUGGGCGAAAGCCUGAUCCAGCCAUGCCGCAUGAGUGAAGAAGGCCUUCGGGUUGUAAAGCUCUUUUAGUGAGGAAGAUAAUGACGGUACUCACAGAAGAAGUCCUGGCUAACUCCGUGCCAGCAGCCGCGGUAAUACGGAGAGGGCUA